CCUACGGGUGGCAGCAGUGGGGAAUAUUGGACAAUGGGGGCAACCCUGAUCCAGCCAUGCCGCGUGUGUGAAGAAGGCCCUCGGGUUGUAAAGCACUUUCAGUGAGGAAGAACGCCUGGUGGUUAAUACCCAUCAGGAAAGACAUCACUCACAGAAGAAGCACCGGCUAACUCCGUGCCAGCAGCCGCGGUAAUACGGAGGGUGCGAGCGUUAAUCGGAAUUACUGGGCGUAAAGCGCGCGUAGGUGGCUUGAUAAGCCGGUUGUGAAAGCCCCGGGCUCAACCUGGGAACGGCAUCCGGAACUGUCAAGCUAGAGUGCAGGAGAGGAAGGUAGAAUUCCCGGUGUAGCGGUGAAAUGCGUAGAGAUCGGGAGGAAUGCCAGUGGCGAAGGCGGCCUUCUGGACUGACACUGACACUGAGGUGCGAAAGCGUGGGUAGCAAACAGGAUUAGAUACCCCAGUAGUC
RNAcentral lists this ribosomal RNA (465 nucleotides) under Vreelandella stevensii. Its description in RNAcentral is "partial 16S ribosomal RNA". It matches the Rfam family "Bacterial small subunit ribosomal RNA", at positions 338 to 795 of the family's 1533-position model. The record is from RNAcentral. Lineage: Bacteria; Pseudomonadati; Pseudomonadota; Gammaproteobacteria; Oceanospirillales; Halomonadaceae.